GAAAUUGAUAGCUAACUGGUAGAGUGCAUGCUUUGUAUGUAUGAUGUCCUGGGUUCAAUCCCCAGCCGUUGCA
This is a non-coding RNA of Dallia pectoralis (Alaska blackfish), 73 nucleotides long. NCBI's taxonomy places the organism in Eukaryota, Metazoa, Chordata, Actinopteri, Esociformes, Umbridae. The record is from the annotation of a GenBank genome assembly.